AUCGUUCGACUGCUUCUAAUCUUAACGACUCUCGGCAACGGAUAUCUCGGCUCUCGCAUCGAUGAAGAACGUAGCGAAAUGCGAUACUUGGUGUGAAUUGCAGAAUCCCGUGAACCAUCGAGUCUUUGAACGCAAGUUGCGCCCGAAGCCGUCAGGUUGA
RNAcentral lists this ribosomal RNA (160 nucleotides) under Pouzolzia zeylanica var. zeylanica. RNAcentral's name for it is "5.8S ribosomal RNA". The stretch from base 27 to 160 matches the Rfam family "5.8S ribosomal RNA", at positions 1 to 132 of the family's 154-position model. Rfam says of the family: 5.8S ribosomal RNA (5.8S rRNA) is a component of the large subunit of the eukaryotic ribosome. It is transcribed by RNA polymerase I as part of the 45S precursor that also contains 18S and 28S rRNA. Functionally, it is thought that 5.8S rRNA may be involved in ribosome translocation. Lineage: Eukaryota; Viridiplantae; Streptophyta; Magnoliopsida; Rosales; Urticaceae. The record is from RNAcentral.